Molecule: ribosomal RNA, 536 nt
Filed under: uncultured bacterium
Lineage: Bacteria
Description: partial 16S ribosomal RNA
Rfam family: Bacterial small subunit ribosomal RNA
Source: RNAcentral
UGGGGAAUAUUGCACAAUGGGCGAAAGCCUGAUGCAGCAACGCCGCGUGAGGGACGACGGCCUUCGGGUUGUAAACCUCUUUAGCAAGGAAGAAGCGAAAGUGACGGUACUUGCAGAAAAAGCGCCGGCUAACUACGUGCCAGCAGCCGCGGUAAUACGUAGGGCGCAAGCGUUAUCCGGAAUUAUUGGGCGUAAAGAGCUCGUAGGCGGUUUGUCGCGUCUGCUGUGAAAACCCGAGGCUCAACCUCGGGCCUGCAGUGGGUACGGGCAGACUAGAGUGCGGUAGGGGAGAUUGGAACUCCUGGUGUAGCGGUGGAAUGCGCAGAUAUCAGGAAGAACACCGAUGGCGAAGGCAGACCUCUGGGCCGUAACUGACGCUGAGGAGCGAAAGGGUGGGGAGCAAACAGGCUUAGAUACCCUGGUAGUCCACCCCGUAAACGUUGGGAACUAGUUGUGGGGUCCAUUCCACGGAUUCCGUGACGCAGCUAACGCAUUAAGUUCCCCGCCUGGGGAGUACGGCCGCAAGGCUAAAACUU